GAUGAACGCUGGCGGCGUGCCUAAUACAUGCAAGUCGAGCGAACGGACGAGAAGCUUGCUUCUCUGAUGUUAGCGGCGGACGGGUGAGUAACACGUGGAUAACCUACCUAUAAGACUGGGAUAAUUUCGGGAAACCGGAGCUAAUACCGGAUGAUAUUUUGAACCGCAUGGUUCAAAAGUGAAAGACGGUCUUGCUGUCACUUAUAGAUGGAUCCGCGCUGCAUUAGCUAGUUGGUAAGGUAACGGCUUACCAAGGCAACGAUGCAUAGCCGACCUGAGAGGGUGAUCGGCCACACUGGAACUGAGACACGGUCCAGACUCCUACGGGAGGCAGCAGUAGGGAAUCUUCCUCAAUGGGCGAAAGCCUGACGGAGCAACGCCGCGUGAGUGAUGAAGGUCUUCGGAUCGUAAAACUCUGUUAUUAGGGAAGAACAUAUGUGUAAGUAACUGUGCACAUCUUGACGGUACCUAAUCAGAAAGCCACGGCUAACUACGUG
RNAcentral lists this ribosomal RNA (497 nucleotides) under uncultured bacterium. RNAcentral's name for it is "partial 16S ribosomal RNA". It matches the Rfam family "Bacterial small subunit ribosomal RNA", at positions 28 to 507 of the family's 1533-position model. The record is from RNAcentral.